GAUGAACGCUGGCGGCGUGCCUAAUACAUGCCAGUCGAGCGAACAGACGGGGAGCUUGCUCCUCUGACGUUAGCGGCGGACGGGUGAGUAACACGUGGAUAACCUACCUAUAAGACUGGGAUAACUUCGGGAAACCGGAGCUAAUACCGGAUAAUAUAUUGAACCGCAUGGUUCAAUAGUGAAAGACGGUUUUGCUGUCACUUAUAGAUGGAUCCGCGCUGCAUUAGCUAGUUGGUAAGGUAACGGCUUACCAAGGCAACGAUGCAUAGCCGACCUGAGAGGGUGAUCGGCCACACUGGAACUGAGACACGGUCCAGACUCCUACGGGAGGCAGCAGUAGGGAAUCUUCCGCAAUGGGCGAAAGCCUGACGGAGCAACGCCGCGUGAGUGAUGAAGGUCUUCGGAUCGUAAAACUCUGUUAUUAGGGAAGAACAAAUGUGUAAGUAACUGUGCACGUCUUGACGGUACCUAAUCAGAAAGCCACGGCUAACUACGUG
This 497-nucleotide ribosomal RNA is filed under the name uncultured bacterium. Its description in RNAcentral is "partial 16S ribosomal RNA". It matches the Rfam family "Bacterial small subunit ribosomal RNA", at positions 28 to 507 of the family's 1533-position model. The record is from RNAcentral.